AUUGAACGCUGGCGGCGUGCUUAACACAUGCAAGUCGAACGGAGUGGCGAACGGGUGAGUAACACGUGGGUGACCUGCCCUGCACUUCGGGAUAAGCCUGGGAAACUGGGUCUAAUACCGGAUAGUGUGGGAUGGGCCCGCGGCCUAUCAGCUUGUUGGUGGGGUAAUGGCCUACCAAGGGGGCGGCGGGUAGCCGGCCUGAGAGGGUGGACGGCCACAUGGGGACUGCGAGAGGGCCCAGAGUGCAACGGGAGGCAGCGGGGGGGAAUAUUGCACAACGGGCGGAAGCCUGAUGCAACGACGCCGCGUGGGGGAUGACGGCCUUCGGGUUGUAAACUCCUUUAACCAUCGACGCGGUAGAUGGAGAAGAAGCACCGGCUAACUACGUGCCAGCAGCCGCGGUAAUAC
RNAcentral lists this ribosomal RNA (408 nucleotides) under uncultured bacterium. RNAcentral describes it as "partial 16S ribosomal RNA". It matches the Rfam family "Bacterial small subunit ribosomal RNA", at positions 28 to 526 of the family's 1533-position model. The record is from RNAcentral.